This 428-nucleotide ribosomal RNA is filed under the name uncultured bacterium. RNAcentral describes it as "bacterial SSU rRNA". It matches the Rfam family "Bacterial small subunit ribosomal RNA", at positions 354 to 797 of the family's 1533-position model. The record is from RNAcentral.
GUAGGGAAUCUUGCACAAUGGGCGAAAGCCUGAUGCAGCAACGCCGCGUGAAGGAUGAAGGCCUUCGGGUUGUAAACUUCUGUUCUUAGGGAAGAAGAAAGUGACGGUACCUAAGGAGAAAGCCCCGGCUAACUACGUGCCAGCAGCCGCGGUAAUACGUAGGGGGCAAGCGUUAUCCGGAAUUAUUGGGCGUAAAGAGUGCGUAGGUGGUUAUCUAAGCGUAAGGUUUAAGCGUGCAGCUCAACUGCAUCUCGCCUUGCGAACUGGACUACUUGAGUGCAGGAGGGGAAAGCGGAAUUCCUAGUGUAGCGGUGAAAUGCGUAGAUAUUAGGAGGAACACCAGCGGCGAAGGCGGCUUUCUGGACUGUAACUGACACUGAGGCACGAAAGCGUGGGGAGCAAACAGGAUUAGAAACCCUAGUAGUCCC